RNAcentral lists this ribosomal RNA (253 nucleotides) under uncultured bacterium. Its description in RNAcentral is "partial 16S ribosomal RNA". It matches the Rfam family "Bacterial small subunit ribosomal RNA", at positions 524 to 776 of the family's 1533-position model. The record is from RNAcentral.
UAUGUAGGGGGCAAGCGUUGUCCGGAUUUAUUGGGCGUAAAGAGCGUGUAGGCGGCCAAGCAGGUCCGCUGUGAAAACUCGAGGCUCAACCUCGAGAGGUCGGUGGAAACCGUCUGGCUAGAGUCCGGAAGAGGAGAGUGGAAUUCCCGGUGUAGCGGUGAAAUGCGCAGAUAUCAGGAAGAACACCCGUGGCGAAGGCGGCUCUCUGGUACGUGACUGACGCUGAGACGCGAAAGCGUGGGGAGCAAACAGG